RNAcentral lists this transfer-messenger RNA (355 nucleotides) under Streptomyces cinereus. RNAcentral describes it as "Moraxella_A cinereus Standard tmRNA". It matches the Rfam family "transfer-messenger RNA". Rfam says of the family: Bacterial tmRNA, also known as 10Sa RNA or SsrA, is named for its dual tRNA and mRNA-like properties. Its role is to liberate the mRNA from a stalled ribosome. RNAcentral also lists the same sequence under 1 other name. Lineage: Bacteria; Bacillati; Actinomycetota; Actinomycetes; Kitasatosporales; Streptomycetaceae. The record is from RNAcentral.
GGGGGCGACUUGGCUUCGACGUGGAUUACAAACCCUGGGGAGCAUGCAGUGAGUGCAGUGAUCACUUAAAUCAAAGCUGAAACGUAUAGUUGCAAACGAUAACAACUACUCUUUAGCGGCUUAAUAAGCCUGCUAAAUUCCCACUAGCGUUCGCCCGCAGGUGCUUACUGGGAAUCAUUUAUGCGGUAUCGCGUGGAGGACUGUCUGGGGCCGAAGCGUUAAAACCUAACCGGAAUCGCGAAUGCUUUCUCUGCCCGUCGAGAUUGUAUUUGCUAAAUUAAGGACGGAUCUAAGCAUGUAGCGCCUUCAGGCAGCGUGUUUGCGGACGCGGGUUCGAUUCCCGCCGUCUCCACCA